AAAGCUCUAGUAGCACAGCGGAUAGUGCAGCAGUUUCCUAAACUGCAGGUCGGGAGUUCGAAUCUCUCCUNNCUUUU
Molecule: transfer RNA, 77 nt
Filed under: Bacillus spizizenii
Lineage: Bacteria; Bacillati; Bacillota; Bacilli; Caryophanales; Bacillaceae
Description: tRNA-Arg
Rfam family: tRNA (bases 9-70)
About the family: Transfer RNA (tRNA) molecules are approximately 80 nucleotides in length.
Source: RNAcentral